This 118-nucleotide ribosomal RNA is filed under the name Pteropus alecto (black flying fox). The record is from RNAcentral. Lineage: Eukaryota; Metazoa; Chordata; Mammalia; Chiroptera; Pteropodidae.
GUCUAUGGCUAUGCUACCCUGAACACGCUCCAACCCAUCUGAUCUCGGAAACUAGGCAGGGUCGGCCUGGUUAGUACUUGAAUGAGAGACCCCCUAGGAAGACGAGGUGCUGUAGGUG